UACGUAGGGGGCAAGCGUUGUCCGGAUUUACUGGGUGUAAAGGGAGCGUAGGCGGGAAUGCAAGUUGAAUGUGAAAUGUAUCGGCUCAACCGGUACCUGCGUUCAAAACUGCAUUUCUUGAGUGGGGUAGAGGCAGGCGGAAUUCCUAGUGUAGCGGUGAAAUGCGUAGAUAUUAGGAGGAACACCAGUGGCGAAGGCGGCCUGCUGGGCCCUAACUGACGCUGAGGCUCGAAAGCGUGGGGAGCAAACAGG
RNAcentral lists this ribosomal RNA (252 nucleotides) under uncultured bacterium. RNAcentral describes it as "partial 16S ribosomal RNA". It matches the Rfam family "Bacterial small subunit ribosomal RNA", at positions 524 to 776 of the family's 1533-position model. The record is from RNAcentral.